GUUUUUAUCAACCCCAUAUCAGCAAAAGUUAUAAUCGUUGCUUGCAAAAUUUUGCUUCACCAUUGUGUGUUGAGAUGAGUUGUCAGUCUAAUGGAGAGAGUGAAAACGUUUCGACGCCUUGUGAUGCCGGUGGCAGUUCAACAAUUGACAAGAGUAGUAUGGUGUACCCACAAGCUGUACUUGCAACUGGAUGGAUGUAUGUCAAUGAACAGGGUCAAAUGUGUGGUCCUUACAUUAAGGAACAGUUGUAUGAGGGUCUGUCUACUGGUUUUUUGCCGGAAGAACUUCACGUUUAUCCUGUCUUAAAUGGGGCCAUUUCGAAUGCAGUGCCCUUAAAGUAUUUCAAUCAAUUCCCUGAACAUGUUGCGACUGGAUUUGCUUAUGUAAUGGUUUCGUCCUCUGGUGCAAAUGGACCAACGGAUAAGUCCAUGGGAGUUGCCAAAGAUUCAGGAGGAAAUGAAAUGGAUUUGCAAACAACUUCCCCCUAUUCUAACUCGGUGGCUCAACAUGGAACUCAUUUGUUGAACCAACAGAUGGCUACCACUGGCUCUGCUGGAACACUUG
Molecule: unclassified non-coding RNA, 564 nt
Filed under: Hevea brasiliensis (rubber tree)
Lineage: Eukaryota; Viridiplantae; Streptophyta; Magnoliopsida; Malpighiales; Euphorbiaceae
Source: RNAcentral